Molecule: ribosomal RNA, 492 nt
Filed under: uncultured bacterium
Lineage: Bacteria
Description: partial 16S ribosomal RNA
Rfam family: Bacterial small subunit ribosomal RNA
Source: RNAcentral
AGUGAACGCUGGCGGUAGGCUUAACACAUGCAAGUCGAACGGCAGCACAGUAAGAGCGUGCUCUUAUGGGGGGCGAGUGGCGGACGGGUGAGGAAUAUAUCCUAAUCUACUUUUUCGUGGGGGAUAACGUAGGGAAACUUACGCUAAUACCGCAUACGACCUACGGGGGAAAGGAGUGGAUCUUUUGGGCUGGCGCGGUUGAAUUAGCCGAUGUUGGAUUAGCUAGUUGGGGGGGUAAAGGCCCACCAAGGGGACGGUCCGUAGCUGGUCUGGGAGGAGGAUCCGGCCCGCUAGAGCGGGGACACGGACUAGACUCCUAAGAGAGGCAGCAGUCGGGAAUGUUGGACCAUGGGGGCAAAUCUGAUCCAGCCAUACAGCGUGGUUGAGGAAGGCCUCGGGGUUGUGAAGCCCUUUUGUGGGGUAAAAAACGCUGCAGGUUGAUACCGCGCUGUUGUGACGGUACCCGAAGAAUAAGCACCGGCUAACUACGUG